UGGACUUGUAUAUAUGAUACAAACUAGUUAUGGUUAAGUCUUUGUUAUUAAUAAAAACUUGCAUUAGCUAUGAUGCAAGUUAGCAGUUUCUACAUCAAUGUUGUAGAGAUAUGUAUUAGAUUAAGGAACUCUAGUUUUAUUGAACCUUUAAUUACGUUAUAAUUUUCCUUCCAGGCACACCAUAGUGUGCUAGAACAACUGUUGUUUGUCUUAAAGUUGCAGUAGUGGUUUCAAAAUUUGUAUGUUCAUUCCCUUGCUAAUAUCUGUUAGUUCCAGUUGUAACUUAUCAUCUUUAUUUGGUUACAGUGUCCAAAAAUUGUUGUCCUUUUCUUUAGUAACCAUCCAUUUAUGCGGGAUAGGGUGCCUGCAAGAGGGUUAGUCCCUCUACCAUAUCUGUUGAUCAAUUUUAACUUGAUAAGUUGUGUCGCUGCAAUUAAAUUCAUGCUUGAUCCACAUGUAUUUUACUGAAUUUUUUAGUGCAUAUCCUUUAGUAUGAUCUAAUCAAGUUAUGUGCUAAGUGCUUGUUUAAGUCCUUACAUUUGUCUAUGAUUUUUGGGGAUAUAAUUAAGUAAAUAAAAGUGUAAUCUCUUGAUAUCUUUAGAUUUUG
This 607-nucleotide unclassified non-coding RNA is filed under the name Hevea brasiliensis (rubber tree). The record is from RNAcentral. Lineage: Eukaryota; Viridiplantae; Streptophyta; Magnoliopsida; Malpighiales; Euphorbiaceae.